RNAcentral lists this ribosomal RNA (459 nucleotides) under uncultured bacterium. RNAcentral's name for it is "partial 16S ribosomal RNA". It matches the Rfam family "Bacterial small subunit ribosomal RNA", at positions 338 to 795 of the family's 1533-position model. The record is from RNAcentral.
CCUACGGGUGGCAGCAGUGAGGAAUAUUGGUCAAUGGGCGCGAGCCUGAACCAGCCAAGUAGCGUGAAGGAUGACUGCCCUACGGGUUGUAAACUUCUUUUAUCAAGGAAUAAAGUGAGGCACGUGUGCCUUUUUGUAUGUACUUUAUGAAUAAGGAUCGGCUAACUCCGUGCCAGCAGCCGCGGUAAUACGGAGGAUCCGAGCGUUAUCCGGAUUUAUUGGGUUUAAAGGGUGCGUAGGCGGAAGGUUAAGUCAGCGGUAAAAUGUCGGUGCUCAACACCGGCCUGCCGUUGAAACUGGUCGUCUUGAGUGAGCGAGAGGUAUGCGGAAUGCGUGGUGUAGCGGUGAAAUGCAUAGAUAUCACGCAGAACUCCGAUUGCGAAGGCAGCAUACCGGCGCUCAACUGACGCUGAGGCACGAAAGCGUGGGGAUCGAACAGGAUUAGAUACCCUGGUAGUC